GGAGGGGUGCCCGAGUGGUUUAUGGGGCUGGUCUUGAAAACCAGUGUGGUCUUUUUGGGCCACCGGGGGUUCGAAUCCCUCCCCCUCCG
RNAcentral lists this transfer RNA (89 nucleotides) under Elusimicrobiota bacterium. RNAcentral describes it as "Elusimicrobia bacterium (hot springs metagenome) tRNA-Ser". It matches the Rfam family "tRNA". Rfam says of the family: Transfer RNA (tRNA) molecules are approximately 80 nucleotides in length. Their secondary structure includes four short double-helical elements and three loops (D, anti-codon, and T loops). The record is from RNAcentral. Lineage: Bacteria; Pseudomonadati; Elusimicrobiota.